UGGCGGACGGGUGAGUAUCGCGUAGGGAUUUAUCGUUGGGUGGGGGAUAACCUUGGGAAACUGGGGCUAAUACCGCAUGACGCCUGUGGGCCAAAGCCUGUGAGGGUGCCUGAUGAGGAGCCUGCGUCCGAUUAGUUAGUUGGUGGGGUAAAGGCUUACCAAGGCAGCGAUCGGUAGCUGGUCUGAGAGGAUGAUCAGCCACACUGGGACUGAGACACGGCCCAG
This 225-nucleotide ribosomal RNA is filed under the name uncultured bacterium. RNAcentral describes it as "partial 16S ribosomal RNA". It matches the Rfam family "Bacterial small subunit ribosomal RNA", at positions 96 to 334 of the family's 1533-position model. The record is from RNAcentral.